GUUCGUCUUGUAGCUGAUAUGAACCCUGUGCAUGUUUCCUUUCCAAACUCAUGGGCCGUCUGAGAGCAUGAGAACGAAAAGCUCCUCAAUAGCGGCUGCCUCAUACUUGGCGAGUAACCAUGGCAGCCGAGGCGCUCUGCCCCUGCCCUCCUUACCUCUCUGCCACCCGUGGGUCGUUCCUUUACUGAAAAAAAAAGGGGGGCACGCCUAAAUUCUCUUCCUCCUGACCCAAACUCUAGGCUUUCUCCUCUCCGACUAAAGGGCCAAAAGCGUCGACUCAGAACUGGUCUACCCGUCUAGACAUGUCUGAAUGGUCCUGCGUGGUCCUGCAUGCUCGAUGUAGAAAGUCCCUUCGCUCAGACGAGAAGGAAGAUGCAGGCGAGGGGACGGGAGAUACGCCGGGUUUGAAAAGGAACCCUGUCUGAUUUGGCCAAAGAGCUCAUUCUAUCAUCGAUCGGCUGCUCCCAAUAGGGGGCGCCACAGCGGCUCAUCCGUCUUCCCUCACCACAUCCAUGAACCUUGAUCUUCCUCUUUUCCUCCUCUGCACAUGUCCAAACCAUCUCAAUCUCACCUCCCUCACCUCGUCUCCAAACCAACUGUUUGGCGCAACUGUCCAUUAAAAACUUAGUCCCUGUCCAUAAAUUGGAUCCGAAAGAGCUAAAAAGUAAUGAAUAAAAUAAAGUGAACCUGCUGUGUGGCGUUUCUCAGCGUGGAGAAUCACUUCAGCGUCCUAUAGUCUUUACAGCAAACCAACAUGGAGGACACGAGCUCCAACUUCCAGCACACACAGACUCUUUCCUGCAUUCAUUCUCCUUAAUAUGGGUUGAUCACAGAAAAAAGAACCGGGACACCAGAAAGCUCCUGUGCACAAAUCCAGCUCCAUGAAGAUCUGCUUUACAAGGGUUGGAGUGGAAGAUCUCCUGCUAUGGAGCUCCAACCCUAUCGAACACCUUUGUAACGAACGUGAACGUGACUGCAUCCCAGGCCUCCUCGUCUCACCUCCAUCAGAAAGAGUCUCCCAAGGGUAAAGUAGGAACAAGCUGCGACAAGUUGUCUUGAGCUUUCACAGCAUUAUAUGUGACAAUAAAUGGAUAAAAAGUCAUGCAUUUAUACAAAGGAAUUGAUGUAGUCAACUUCUGUGUACAUCACACCACUUUUUCCUUCCUUUUUCCAUAUUUACCUACAGAUCUUUUCACCAACCUGCCAAUCAAAUAACCAACCAACCAAAUAACCAAAUAUUUUCAGGCCCAGUAGAAGAAAAAAUUUUAGCCUUGAAACCUAUCGAAGAGUGUAAUGUAAAUAUAGUUCCGAUUUUAUUGUGAAAUCACCAAUCUGAUUUCCAUUUGUCUCUAGAAGUUACAGACCUUCUCAGCCGGUUCCUUCCAGCACACUGAAAUCCGUAAUGAACGACCGGUUCUCCUGCCCCUGGUAUCAAGAGUUAACAAGUUCAUACACACUCUGAAAAAAAACUCUUCCGCUCGACUCCAACGUAGUGCAUUCAAAAGUCAAGCAGGGAUUUUUUUCCCCCAGAAAGAACAACAUGAAGAACAUUUCAGGUGAGAGCAGGUAGAUCAUCUGAAAGGAUCCAGUUGUAAAAGGUUUAUUCAUUAUGUAUCAGCCUUUUAUUUAUCACGGCUCGUAUCUCUGCAUUACUCGACAUCUGUUACGUAAAAAUGCAAUGGUUUUUUUACAUGAUUUAUUCC
Molecule: long non-coding RNA, 1703 nt
Organism: Silurus meridionalis
Lineage: Eukaryota; Metazoa; Chordata; Actinopteri; Siluriformes; Siluridae
Exons: 3
Source: RefSeq, a predicted model, not a curated record